This 771-nucleotide ribosomal RNA is filed under the name uncultured bacterium. RNAcentral describes it as "bacterial SSU rRNA". It matches the Rfam family "Bacterial small subunit ribosomal RNA", at positions 8 to 778 of the family's 1533-position model. The record is from RNAcentral.
AGAGUUUGAUCCUGGCUCAGGACGAACGCUGGCGGUAUGCUUAACACAUGCAAGUCGAACGAGACGAGAUGGAAGGAUCCUUCGGGUGACAGAAAUCUUAGAAAGUGGCGAACGGGUGAGUAACGCGUGGGUAACCUGCCCUAUGGAAAGGAAUAGCCUCGGGAAACUGGGAGUAAUGCCUUAUAAUAUAGUGAAGUCGCAUGGCUUUGCUAUUAAACGCUCCGGUGCCAUAGGAUGGACCCGCGUCCCAUUAGCUAGUUGGUGAGAUAACAGCUCACCAAGGCGACGAUGGGUAACCGGUCUGAGAGGGCGAACGGUCACACUGGAACUGAGACACGGUCCAGACUCCUACGGGAGGCAGCAGUGGGGAAUAUUGCGCAAUGGGGGCAACCCUGACGCAGCAAUACCGCGUGAGUGAAGAAGGUUUUCGGAUCGUAAAGCUCUGUUAUUGGGGAAGAAAAAAGACGGUACCCAAGAAGAAAGUCCCGGCUAACUACGUGCCAGCAGCCGCGGUAAUACGUAGGGGACAAGCGUCGUCCGGAUUUACUGGGCGUAAAGGGCACGCAGGCGGUUUUUUAAGUCAGAUGUGAAAGGUACCGGCUCAACCGGUGACAUGCAUUUGAAACUGAAAGACUUGAGUAUUGGAGAGGCAAGUGGAAUUCCUAGUGUAGCGGUGAAAUGCGUAGAUAUUAGGAGGAACACCGGUGGCGAAGGCGGCUUGCUGGACAAAUACUGACGCUGAGGUGCGAAAGCGUGGGGAGCAAACAGGAU